This 465-nucleotide ribosomal RNA is filed under the name Vreelandella stevensii. RNAcentral's name for it is "partial 16S ribosomal RNA". It matches the Rfam family "Bacterial small subunit ribosomal RNA", at positions 338 to 795 of the family's 1533-position model. Lineage: Bacteria; Pseudomonadati; Pseudomonadota; Gammaproteobacteria; Oceanospirillales; Halomonadaceae. The record is from RNAcentral.
CCUACGGGUGGCAGCAGUGGGGGAUAUUGGACAAUGGGGGCAACCCUGAUCCAGCCAUGCCGCGUGUGUGAAGAAGGCCCUCGGGUUGUAAAGCACUUUCAGUGAGGAAGAACGCCUGGUGGUUAAUACCCAUCAGGAAAGACAUCACUCACAGAAGAAGCACCGGCUAACUCCGUGCCAGCAGCCGCGGUAAUACGGAGGGUGCGAGCGUUAAUCGGAAUUACUGGGCGUAAAGCGCGCGUAGGUGGCUUGAUAAGCCGGUUGUGAAAGCCCCGGGCUCAACCUGGGAACGGCAUCCGGAACUGUCAAGCUAGAGUGCAGGAGAGGAAGGUAGAAUUCCCGGUGUAGCGGUGAAAUGCGUAGAGAUCGGGAGGAAUACCAGUGGCGAAGGCGGCCUUCUGGACUGACACUGACACUGAGGUGCGAAAGCGUGGGUAGCAAACAGGAUUAGAUACCCCGGUAGUC